GCGGUCGUGGCGGAAUUGGUAGACGCGCAGCGUUGAGGUCGCUGUGGAGGAAACUCCUUGGAAGUUCGAGUCUUCUCGACCGCACCA
This 87-nucleotide transfer RNA is filed under the name Rhodobiaceae bacterium. RNAcentral describes it as "tRNA-Leu". It matches the Rfam family "tRNA". Rfam says of the family: Transfer RNA (tRNA) molecules are approximately 80 nucleotides in length. Lineage: Bacteria; Pseudomonadati; Pseudomonadota; Alphaproteobacteria; Hyphomicrobiales; Rhodobiaceae. The record is from RNAcentral.